RNAcentral lists this long non-coding RNA (673 nucleotides) under Nicotiana tabacum (common tobacco). Its description in RNAcentral is "long non-coding RNA (NTAB_LNC008812)". The record is from RNAcentral. Lineage: Eukaryota; Viridiplantae; Streptophyta; Magnoliopsida; Solanales; Solanaceae.
AUUUUUGUGUGCUAUUGCCCACGCCUUCCGAGUGGGCCGGGCCGCCGGACUCGGAUCGCCUAAAAAUAUUUCGGGCCAUCAAUUAGGACCUAAGGAACCAUAGUCACCACCUCGCCAUGAUCGUUCCUCAUUUUUACAUUUUUUGGCCAAAAACUAGAAUUCCGCCCGAUUCCCAUAUUUUUGUGUGCUAUCGCCCACGCCUUCCAAGUGGGUCGGGCCCCCCGGAGCCGGAUCGCUAAAAAAAUUUCGGACAAUCAAAUACGACCUAAGGAACCAUAGUUACCGCCCCGCCAUGAUCGUUCCUAGUCUUUUGUCAUUUUUCAGCCAAAAAAUUAGAAUUCCGCGCGAUUUCCAUAUUUUCGUGUGCUUUAGCCCACGCCUUCCAAGGGGUCCCGGGAACCCCGAACCCCUAUCGCCUAAAAGUUUUCUGGACAAUCAAAUAUGACCUAAGGAACCAUAGUCACCGCCCAGCGAUGAUCAUUCUUCAUUUGUUGCGUUUUUCGGCCAAAGAACUAGAAUGCCGACCGAUUACAAUAUUUUUGUUUUCUAUUGCCCACCCUUCCAAGUGGUUCCGGGACCCCCGGACCCCGAUCGCCUAAAAUCUUUUCGGGCCGUCAAAUACGACCUAAGGAACCAUAGUAACCGCCUCGCCAUCAUCGUUUCUCAUUUUUUG